GCAGGGAAUAUUGCGCAAUGGGCGAAAGCCUGACGCAGCGACGCCGCGUGAGGGAUGAAGGCCUUCGGGUCGUAAACCUCUUUUCUCAGGGAAGAAUAAUGACGGUACCUGAGGAAUAAGUCACGGCUAACUACGUGCCAGCAGCCGCGGUAAUACGUAGGUGGCAAGCAUUAUCCGGAUUUAUUGGGCGUAAAGCGAGUGUAGGCGGUUUUUUCAAGUCGAGUGUGAAAUCUCCCGGCUCAACUGGGAGACGUCAUUCGAUACUGUGAGACUGGAGGGCAGCAGAGGAAGAUGGAAUUCCCGGUGUAGUGGUGAAAUGCGUAGAUAUCGGGAGGAACACCAGUGGCGAAGGCGGUCUUCUGGGCUGUUUCUGACGCUGAGGCUCGAAAGCGUGGGGAGCAAACAGGAUUAGAUACCCCAGUAGUCC
This 427-nucleotide ribosomal RNA is filed under the name uncultured bacterium. RNAcentral's name for it is "bacterial SSU rRNA". It matches the Rfam family "Bacterial small subunit ribosomal RNA", at positions 354 to 796 of the family's 1533-position model. The record is from RNAcentral.